UCUCCGUAGGUGAACCUGCGGAGGGAUCAUUACCAGAGAUGGCGGGCCCCCGCGCCCCCGUCCCCAACCCUUUGUUGACCAAACCACUUUUGCCUCGGGGGCAGAGCGGCCUCCGCCUCCCCCGGUGGACCAUUUGACCCUGUCUCUGUACGUCGGAGUCUUCGAUAAAUAAAUGAAAACUUUUAACAACGGAUCUCUUGGUUCUG
Molecule: unclassified non-coding RNA, 206 nt
Filed under: plant metagenome
Description: partial contains small subunit ribosomal RNA, internal transcribed spacer 1, and 5.8S ribosomal RNA
Source: RNAcentral